CUUUUUAUCUCAUAUGAAAGUCAGUAGGACUUGGAAAGAAACCAGAGACUGCAGGUCUAUGACUGUACUUGCUUCAGGAGAGAAGAGAGAAAGAGGCAGGUGUUUCCAGAUUGUCUCUGUCAAGUGACAGAGAGGUGACUGUGGAGCUGUGGUCUAUGAGGAAGGUCCAAGCUUUGAACGAUGAUCAUGGAGCCAGCUAUGGGCUAUCCACGUCCCUAAACUAUGAUGCUUAGAGAACACUGCACUGCCUCAGUCACCUGGGGUCACGUUUGUUCCUAUGCUUGGGCUCCUUUCAGGGGCAUCUGAGAAAGGAAAGAGGGAUCAUCAGGACCCUAAAAAUUGAUAAGCAAGUUUGGAAGUUCAGAAAACUCAGCUUGGAGAGAGCAGAGUUAGGAGGGCAAGUGAUCUGGACUGUGAGUGGGCAUGGGAUCAUCCAGGGCGCUCACCUUUUGCACGCAUUGCCCUGGGGCAGUCCUGUGUGUUGCUGGCAUUGCUUUUCAGCAGAGAUAGAGGCUAGGUCCCAAUGGUGAUUUCCCUCCUUGCCAAGGGGAACCUGCCGCCCCAAGGGUGUCCAGCGUUUCUGAAAGCCGCCUGUCUGGGCCCACCUCCCCCUGCAGUCCCGCUCAGUGGCCACGGCCUGACCCAGGACUCGGACCUAAGUUGUCCCUGUGGAAUGGGGCUGUACUCACCCGGCUUCUGGCUUGGCACAGACUGCCCUGGAGAGCAGAGACUGAGGUCCAGGUGAGGGUCCUUCCUCAGGGGCCAUACACACUUGUUCAGCUUCUCUCAGGAGGUUUACAUGGGUGCCCCCAGGCUUUCUGAGACAUUACUGGAUUUGGCCUCAGAUGGCAGCAAACAGAUGGGGGGAGUUAAAUUCCUCAGGGCCGAGAGUCAUGACUGUUAAUGAUCCUGGGUAAGCCGUGGGGCUUUCAGCCUCUUUGAGAAGCUGCCAACUAGUCCUUGGGGCCGAGCCUGGAAUCACAUCUGCCAGCUGUCCCUGAAAUGUUCCAGUUUGCCAUUCCUUAAACAUGCCUCCCAACCUGCUCCCCAAGGUUAGGACUUACCACUUGUAAGGCAGGGGAAAAGUGAAAGUGUUCGUCACUCAGUCGUGCCCGACUCUUUGCAACCGCAUGGACUGUAGCCCACCAGGCUCCUCUGUCCAUGGGAUUCUCCAGGCAAGAGUACUGGAGUGGGUUGCCAUUUCCUUCUCCCAGGGAUUGAACCUGGGUCUCCUGCAUUGCAGGCAGAUUUUUUACCAUCUGAGCCAGCAGGGAAGGCAGGAUGAGGGCCCUGACAACACCAACACCCAGCUUCAGAAGCCCCUGCCCAGGACCCAGUCGGCUCUUCCCUCCAGCUUUGCCUGAGGGGCAAGGAUGCUCGUGUGUGAGGCUUUGAAGUCCAGACCUGAUUGGAGAGAAAAAUAAUGCUUCGUGAAUAUAUUGCUUGAUCAACUCCUAGGAUUCAAACUGAGCUCAUGGUGAGAAGCCUGGAUCCACUCGUCUGGGGGUCACAGGGCCCACAACCCAUGCUCCUGGGGGUGACAGAGCAACACAGCCUUCUAGAUCAUCCUAAGUGCUAUGACACACAGCGCGUCCUGUGGCCAAACAGCAGGGCCCUUUCCUGGAAUCCUUUUUCAGCCAGCUCAAAGUAAAAACACCCUCCAUCACACCACUCCAUCCAGUGACCUGCCUCUCCUGGAUCGAUGUUUAGCCUUAAGACCCUUGAAUGGAACUCCAACCGUGAUGGCGCUGCCAACACUCUUCCCUCUCCCCCCUCCUCACAUAGUGUUGCUUAAAGAGGAGACCCCCGAGGGCCUGCUCAGGCCCCCUACACGGCCUCUCCUCUGUCACUCCGUCACUGCACUGCCUUCUCGCUCGCGUCAAUAAAAAUGACCUUCACCAGCUCUCGUGCCCUCUAACUGGAUGAGAUCUCAGCGUCCCCCCAGCACGAACCACAGCCAUCAGAGACAGCACCCAGGGUGUUCAUGUUGAGAUGUUUCAACUGACUGCGCCUCCAGCUUAACUUAGUUUCAAAUGAAACUUCAUUCUCACGUGAGCCUAUUGGACUUAUUCUGGAACCUCUAGAACUGGACCUGACUACCCCACAGGUACCAGACCGGUGGGUGCCCUCCCCCACUACCCACCAGGAAGUGUUUCUUGGAGCCACUAUCUUUUUAUCUGUGACUUCAGAGUCAGCCAACAGAUCCACUAGUCAUUCAAGGAGAUGUUCAUGGAUCUUGUUAUCAGGAUAUGAACUGCUUUUAUAUGAAGAAAGAUGCACCCCCUCCCCCCCCAAUGAAUUCACUCUCACUAUUCAGACACUGUGUGUGUGCAUCCGUCAGAGACUGUCCCACAUUUCGCCAGUCCUUUGAGGACACGUCUGCUCACGAGCGGUUCGUCAUUUUGGGACUCCUCCUUGUAUUAACACUCUUGCCAUUGAGUCCUGCCAAAUCCUCCAUUGGAUUUCUCUUCUUCCUUUGUAUCUGUCAUUUAGUCCAAAGGAGCAUGAAUCAAUCAACAGAAGUGCAAAUGAGCUGAUACUAUCUUUGUGGUCAACUGAGGACGCUGCCAAAACUCUGCUGUCUGACUGCAACCCGGGGACAUGAAGAGGAACGGGUGGCCCCACCACUGAUAUUCCCUUCUCAACAUUUUUAAAUAAGCACAAGUGAUAUUUGUAAAAAGAAAAAAAAAAGUUUAAUUUUAUUUAUUAUGGUAAAUAAACUAUUUUAUAAUGAUCAUACAUGAUUGCUUUUGCCUUUCCUUGUAUAAACUUCCAGGCACUGAAUUAGGUGAAUUACCUAAGAUAAAAGAACUAGGUGGUACUUUCAUAGACCUUUUCAAAAGCCUUGGGACCUCUAAUUUGG
Molecule: long non-coding RNA, 2863 nt
Organism: Bos taurus (domestic cattle)
Lineage: Eukaryota; Metazoa; Chordata; Mammalia; Artiodactyla; Bovidae
Source: Ensembl